UGAAGAAGGUUUUGGGUUCAUUGGAGGGAGGGGGCAGACCAGGCACAGGAGGUGGAGGGGGCACAGUUCUCACCAGAUCGGGGAGAACAGAAAGCUACAACUUGUAUGAGAAUAAGGAGGACCUGGUACAUUCAUCUCUUUGUUUGUACAACUACUUCAAUAAAGAACCAAUUAAACUGGAAA
Long non-coding RNA from Amblyraja radiata (thorny skate), 183 nucleotides. RefSeq lists it as uncharacterized. The transcript has 3 exons. The record is from RefSeq and is a predicted model, not a curated record. NCBI's taxonomy places the organism in Eukaryota, Metazoa, Chordata, Chondrichthyes, Rajiformes, Rajidae.